Molecule: unclassified non-coding RNA, 253 nt
Filed under: uncultured Rhodobacterales bacterium
Lineage: Bacteria; Pseudomonadati; Pseudomonadota; Alphaproteobacteria; Rhodobacterales
Description: contains 16S-23S intergenic spacer region
Rfam family: Bacterial small subunit ribosomal RNA
Source: RNAcentral
UACGGAGGGGGUUAGCGUUGUUCGGAAUUACUGGGCGUAAAGCGCACGUAGGCGGACCAUUAAGUCAGGGGUGAAAUCCCGGGGCUCAACCCCGGAACUGCCUCUGAUACUGGCGGUCUUGAGUUCGAGAGAGGUGAGUGGAAUUCCGAGUGUAGAGGUGAAAUUCGUAGAUAUUCGGAGGAACACCAGUGGCGAAGGCGGCUCACUGGCUCGAUACUGACGCUGAGAUGCGAAAGUGUGGGGAGCAAACAGG